ACGGGUGAGUAAUGCAUCGGAAUGUACCGUGUAAUGGGGGAUAGCUCGGCGAAAGCCGGAUUAAUACCGCAUACGCCCUGAGGGGGAAAGUGGGGGACCGUAAGGCCUCACGUUAUACGAGCAGCCGAUGUCUGAUUAGCUAGUUGGUGGGGUAAAGGCUCACCAAGGCAACGAUCAGUAGCGGGUCUGAGAGGAUGAUCCGCCACACUGGGACUGAGACACGGCCCAGACUCCUACGGGAGGCAGCAGUGGGGAAUUUUGGACAAUGGGCGCAAGCCUGAUCCAGCCAUGCCGCGUGUCUGAAGAAGGCCUUCGGGUUGUAAAGGACUUUUGUCCGGGAGCAAAUCCCAGUGGUUAAUACCUACUGGGGCUGAGAGUACCGGAAGAAUAAGCACCGGCUAACUACGUGCCAGCAGCCGCGGUAAUACGUAGGGUGCAAGCGUUAAUCGGAAUUACUGGGCGUAUAGCGUGCGCAGGCGGUUGUGCAAGUCUGAUGUGAAAGCCCCGGGCUUAACCUGGGAACGGCAUUGGAGACUGCACGACUAGAGUGCGUCAGAGGGGGGUAGAAUUCCGCGUGUAGCAGUGAA
This 587-nucleotide ribosomal RNA is filed under the name uncultured bacterium. RNAcentral describes it as "bacterial SSU rRNA". It matches the Rfam family "Bacterial small subunit ribosomal RNA", at positions 102 to 685 of the family's 1533-position model. The record is from RNAcentral.